Long non-coding RNA from Passer domesticus (house sparrow), 857 nucleotides. RefSeq lists it as uncharacterized. The record is from RefSeq and is a predicted model, not a curated record. The transcript is spliced from 3 exons. Lineage: Eukaryota; Metazoa; Chordata; Aves; Passeriformes; Passeridae.
UCAGCCUUGAAUCACUUAGCUGGGUCCUACAUACACAAAAAAAAAUUAACAUCCAGAUUGUUAAAAGAAAGCGAAAGAGGUUUGGCAUUUUGACACCAAACACUGAUAGUUGUGUGAUCACAUGUGUGAGUCUUUCCUGUGGAAAGGAAUGCAGAACUAGCGGAGUUCUUGUGGCUACUGAACUGGAGCACAAACUGUGGUAUCUGAGACCUAAAAGCAGCAGUGACUGAACAUGGAAUUAAAACAAACAAAACGGAGACCCUCCCAAUUUUGCAUCAAGUGGCGAAUGCAGAGCAGGCUGCAAUCAAAUGCUAUAAAGGAAUCAUCUGAGCAACUCAAGCCCUAGAGUGAAGGCUAUAAACCACUAGUGUUUAGUGACCAUCUGCACCAGUAGUUCCAUUAUCUGUGGCUGGAGAUUGAUUUUCCUUUUCCUUGCAUGUUCACUUACCCCAAUGCCCCAGAGUGUGCAAUGGAGCCAGCAGCAUAUAAUGCAAAGACAGCUUUUAAGGCAUCAAAAGUGAAAGCAUCAGGAGUAUCAUUAUAUUCUGCAUCUUUUGUAGUGGCUUUUUGUCUAAUCCUAUUGUAACCAGAGUCCACUGAUGGUGGCUAGGCCCCUCCUUUAUGAAGCUUAAGUGCAGAGCUCAGAAGAGCUCUGCUUUCCUCAGAGGAAGGUAAAAAAGUCUGCUUCGUAUCCCCCUUUAUGAAGAAGGUUCAGUUUUAUGUGCACCAAUUUCAUAUCAAUUUCAUACAGGACCAGUAACCCAGAAGGCAACAGAGGAAAGUAAUCCAGGUUUGGAGGCUGGGAACCAGCAGAAGGUUGUUUGAGAGUUCGAGACCUCAACAACUCUUUUUAGUUG